RNAcentral lists this long non-coding RNA (259 nucleotides) under Elaeis guineensis (African oil palm). Its description in RNAcentral is "long non-coding RNA (EGUI_LNC045824)". Lineage: Eukaryota; Viridiplantae; Streptophyta; Magnoliopsida; Arecales; Arecaceae. The record is from RNAcentral.
UGGUGGACCAGUACGGUAAUUCCCAGAAGAUGCUUUGCUUCACCCAUUUAUGAGUUCUACCAAAUCCUUGAGGCUUUUGCUUGUCAAAUAGCAUGCCAAACUAGUCAUCAUCCAGUUGGGAUAUGCUCUAAAAUACCUUCGUACCAUUAAGGUGCGAGGAUACAUGGUCCUUUUCCAUCUUAUUUCUCUUGAAAAUAUCCCACUGCUUUCAAAAAGGAUAAUGCUCGGGAAGGAAUUAACGAUGACAAUCAAACCAGCA